UGCAGUCGAGCGGAAGGCCCUUCGGGGUACUCGAGCGGCGAACGGGUGAGUAACACGUGAGCAACCUGCCCCAAGCUUUGGGAUAACCCUCGGAAACGGGGGCUAAUACCGAAUAUUACUUCUGGCCGCAUGGCUGGUGGUGGAAAGUUUUUCGGCUUGGGAUGGGCUCGCGGCCUAUCAGCUUGUUGGUGGGGUGAUGGCCUACCAAGGCGACGACGGGUAGCCGGCCUGAGAGGGCGACCGGCCACACUGGGACUGAGACACGGCCCAGACUCCUACGGGAGGCAGCAGUGGGGAAUAUUGCACAAUGGGCGGAAGCCUGAUGCAGCGACGCCGCGUGAGGGAUGACGGCCUUCGGGUUGUAAACCUCUUUCAGCAGGGACGAAGCGAGAGUGACGGUACCUGCAGAAGAAGCACCGGCCAACUACGUGCCAGCAGCCGCGGUAAGACGUAGGGUGCGAGCGUUGUCCGGAUUUAUUGGGCGUAAAGAGCUCGUAGGCGGCUUGUCGCGUCGACCGUGAAAACUUGGGGCUCAACCCCAAGCCUGCGGUCGAUACGGGCAGGCUAGAGUUCGGUAGGGGAGACUGGAAUUCCUGGUGUAGCGGUGAAAUGCGCAGAUAUCAGGAGGAACACCGGUGGCGAAGGCGGGUCUCUGGGCCGAUACUGACGCUGAGGAGCGAAAGCGUGGGGAGCGAACAGGAUUAGAUACCCUGGUAGUCCACGCUGUAAACGUUGGGCGCUAGGUGUGGGGGGCCUCUCCGGUUCCCUGUGCCGCAGCUAA
Molecule: ribosomal RNA, 781 nt
Filed under: Micromonospora saelicesensis
Lineage: Bacteria; Bacillati; Actinomycetota; Actinomycetes; Micromonosporales; Micromonosporaceae
Description: bacterial SSU rRNA
Rfam family: Bacterial small subunit ribosomal RNA
Source: RNAcentral